This is a non-coding RNA of Ciona intestinalis (vase tunicate), 737 nucleotides long. The record is from RefSeq and is a predicted model, not a curated record. Lineage: Eukaryota; Metazoa; Chordata; Ascidiacea; Phlebobranchia; Cionidae.
GGUCACCAUCUGUUGCGGAAGGAUUAAAAUAACAAACAGCCGCCCUCAUGUUGGAUGGAUCUUCAGAGUCCAAGUACCUGGUGAUAUAUGUUAAUGAAAUACGGAACCAAAUUGAGUCUGUUGAGCUGUUUGCAGCAACAACUCCAAUAUCCAAAGAAGCUCCAACCACUGGCCGUCCUAACUUGGUCACGAACGCUCCAAACUCAGCUUGCUCACCAACAUUUAACUUCCUUCCAAGGUUGUUCGUCAACCCAAUUUGAAUUCCAUGCUCUGGCUCCACUGCUACCAAUGUUCUGUUGCAUUGGGCGUAUGUUAAACUACGGUGCAACAAGAAUAAAUAAUAGUAGUUUUCAAAUGAUAACAAACUCAUGAUCAGCAGAUGUUUCGGCCUGUAACUUGGUUGAUAGUAACCUGAUGAUGAACGAGGUUACUGUCUGGAUAUACUAACUUAUGAUCAAUAAAUGUUAUUUAAAAGAUUUCCUUUUACGUCAGACUUUCUAUGUUGCCAUUUUUACUGUUAUCAAUUACCUUUUUUUCUUGCCAUCUUCCAUGUAAAUAACCAACCGGUGAUUUAUGUCAACAAUGGUGCUCUGGAAUCUCAAAUCAGUAAUUCCCCCAUACACGUUAUACCAGGCCCCAUCGUUCAGUUUAAUUGGUUCAAUACUUAAUGGAGUUAUACAAUCAAGGUUUUCUGCUCUGGAUUUGAAGAAGUAUUAAUAAAUAAAAGAAAUAUAUUA